RNAcentral lists this ribosomal RNA (289 nucleotides) under uncultured Rhodobacterales bacterium. RNAcentral describes it as "partial 16S ribosomal RNA". The record is from RNAcentral. Lineage: Bacteria; Pseudomonadati; Pseudomonadota; Alphaproteobacteria; Rhodobacterales.
CUACUGGGGUAUCUAAUCCUGUUUGCUCCCCACGCUUUCGCACCUCAGCGUCAGUAUCGAGCCAGUGAGCCGCCUUCGCCACUGGUGUUCUUCCGAAUAUCUACGAAUUUCACCUCUACACUCGGAGUUCCACUCACCUCUCUCGAACUCAAGACUACUAGUAUCAAAGGCCGUUCCGGGGUUGAGCCCCGGGAUUUCACCUCUGACUGGGUAAUCCGCCUACGCGCGCUUUACGCCCAGUAAUUCCGAACAACGCUAACCCCCUCCGUAUUACCGCGGCUGCUGGCAC